This 103-nucleotide small nuclear RNA is filed under the name Physcomitrium patens. The record is from RNAcentral. Lineage: Eukaryota; Viridiplantae; Streptophyta; Bryopsida; Funariales; Funariaceae.
GUCUCUUCGGAGACAUCUGAUAAAAUUGGAACGAUACAGAGAAGAUUAUCAUGGCCCCUGCGCAAGGAUGACACGCACAAAUCGAGAAAUGGUCCAAAUUUUU